Molecule: unclassified non-coding RNA, 263 nt
Filed under: plant metagenome
Description: partial contains small subunit ribosomal RNA, internal transcribed spacer 1, and 5.8S ribosomal RNA
Source: RNAcentral
UUUCCGUAGGUGAACCUGCGGAAGGAUCAUUAUUGUAUAACCGAGGUGCGAGGGCUGUCGCUGACCCGAAAGGUCGUGCACGCCCGAGUGCCCUCACACACAUCCAACUCACCCCUAUGUGCACCACCGCGUGGGUCCCCCUUUGGCUUGUUCGGAGGGGGGCUUACGUUUUCACACGAACUUUGUAUGCAGUGUAGAAUGUAUUUUUUGUUUUUGCGAUCACGCAAUCAAUACAACUUUCAACAACGGAUCUCUUGGCUCUC